UAGUGAGUUUGAUCCUGGCUCAGGACGAACGCUGGCGGCGUGCCUAAUACAUGCAAGUCGAGCGCAGGAAGCUCACGGAACUCUUCGGAGGGAAGUGAAGGGAAUGAGCGGCGGACGGGUGAGUAACACGUAAGGAACCUGCCCCAGGGACUGGGAUAACUCCGAGAAAUCGGAGCUAAUACCGGAUCUGUCACGAGACCGCAUGGUCCCGUGAUGAAAGGCGCUCCGGCGUCACCUUGGGAUGGCCUUGCGGUGCAUUAGCUAGUUGGUGCGGUAACGGCGUACCAAGGCGACGACGGCUAGGGGGCCUGAGAGGGUGACCCCCGACACUGGAACUGAGACACGGGUCCAGACUCCUACGGGGAGGCAGCAGUGAGGAAUCUUGCACAAUGGGGGCAACCCCUGAUGCAGCGACGCCGCGU
Molecule: ribosomal RNA, 422 nt
Filed under: uncultured Exiguobacterium sp.
Lineage: Bacteria; Bacillati; Bacillota; Bacilli; Caryophanales
Description: bacterial SSU rRNA
Rfam family: Bacterial small subunit ribosomal RNA
Source: RNAcentral